Non-coding RNA from Microcebus murinus (gray mouse lemur), 1081 nucleotides. The record is from RefSeq and is a predicted model, not a curated record. Lineage: Eukaryota; Metazoa; Chordata; Mammalia; Primates; Cheirogaleidae.
GGAGCUGGAGUGCGGAACGGGCGCCUCUGCGCACGCCCAGCCAAGCAACCGCCUCAGCACAGGCUCUUCCUGGCGAUUAAUGAGGCACAGAAAAGAAUAACACCUCAAACCAUUAACCCCAGCCAGCCAUAAAUCCUCAGGAAUUGCCUGGCAGAGUGGCUGCCCUGCGAUAUGAAGGUGAAAAUGCAUUUUUAAAAAGCCUAUGGAUUUUCUUUAAUGGACAACAGUAUUACUGGUGCCCAGUGGGCCUCUCCACAGACUAAUACCUCACCCAGGGCCUGGCCUUUUAUUCAAUCUGCAACGUUCCUUUCCCCCUGCCGCUGCCUGCCUCUUUUUGGUCCUCUUUGCUCCUAGAAUAGAUUGAAAAAGACCACAAAAACUGAAAACGAACUGGAACAAGAGACAGAUAAGCUCAGCCAGCUUGCAGGAGCCUCAACCUGAGAGCAGCUAGCUGCCUGCUCCAAAGGUGGGCUCGGUGGGCAGCCAAGGGGGGAGGAACUCAGGACAAAGACAGCCAGGCUGCGGGAGUCCUCAAUCGACUUUUUUGACAUUGAAAUCCCCAAUGAAAAUGCAAAGGUUAUCUAACAGGGGAAGCCCCUGAGCCAUUUGUAGGCUAUUAACAGCUUUGCUACAAAUAAAUUUGUCUAAUAUCGUCAAUCACCUGGCAGAGCCCUGGGCAAUGGAACUCAACACAGCUCCUGCCCGGGAAAAGUCCUACUUUCGUUUGUAUGUGGUAAUAAGGACGUACUCAGCCUCUUCUCAAGCAGACCCUGAAAUGAGGACUCACAUGCAAGUAAUUCAUUAAGAAAGUAAUCUCAAGAGCGACUGGUAAGGAAAUGAGGUGAAUUCAAGUGAAUUCGCAGAGUGACGAUUCCAGGUAAGAGAAGAACUUCACAAAGUCCGAAGCAAGUACAAAGAAGCGUUUGCAAAAGAGACAGAGGCUGGGUCAGAUAUCUUGCGCUUUCCGCACACACCACCGAGAAGUCCCAGGAGGCUGGUACUCUUAACAAUCCCAACGAAAAGACAUCCUGACAGUCUCCAAAGUGGUGUAAAUCACGGCUGUGUGUAGCUUUGAAAAAUC